This 483-nucleotide ribosomal RNA is filed under the name uncultured bacterium. RNAcentral describes it as "partial 16S ribosomal RNA". It matches the Rfam family "Bacterial small subunit ribosomal RNA", at positions 28 to 507 of the family's 1533-position model. The record is from RNAcentral.
GACGAACGCUGGCGGCGUGCUUAACACAUGCAAGUCGAACGCUGAAGCUCAGCUUUUGUUGGGUGGAUGAGUGGCGAACGGGUGAGUAACACGUGAGUAACCUGCCCCCUUCUUUGGGAUAACGCCCGGAAACGGGUGCUAAUACUGGAUAUUCACUGGUCUUCGCAUGGGGGUUGGUGGAAAGGGUUUUUCUGGUGGGGGAUGGGCUCGCGGCCUAUCAGCUUGUUGGUGGGGUGAUGGCCUACCAAGGCUUUGACGGGUAGCCGGCCUGAGAGGGUGGCCGGUCACAUUGGGACUGAGAUACGGCCCAGACUCCUACGGGAGGCAGCAGUGGGGAAUAUUGCACAAUGGGCGCAAGCCUGAUGCAGCGACGCCGCGUGAGGGAUGGAGGCCUUCGGGUUGUGAACCUCUUUCGCUCAUGGUCAAGCCGCAACAAUGGUUGUGGUGAGGGUAGUGGGUAAAGAAGCGCCGGCUAACUACGUG